Molecule: long non-coding RNA, 2194 nt
Organism: Ostrea edulis (European flat oyster)
Lineage: Eukaryota; Metazoa; Mollusca; Bivalvia; Ostreida; Ostreidae
Exons: 3
Source: RefSeq, a predicted model, not a curated record
ACUCGGCGGCCAUAUCGUAGGGCAACAGAUUGAAACGUGGAAGCGUAAACAAGAGAGGGUUAUUUAAGUUACAGCAAGAAUAUGGUUAAUAUUUGUGUUGUGUGGAGUUGUAACAACCGGUCAGUGAGUGGAGAUGAAAACAGACGCUUUUAUGACAUUCCUAAAAUUGUAAAACAUCAAGGAAAGCAGACGGAAGAGUUGUCAGCUGAUUGGAGAACACUUUGGCUGGCGCGGAUCAACAGAUCAGAUUUCAACCCGAGAAACGUCAUUUUAAAGUCAGUUCAGAUCACUUCGUUUCAGGAACAAAGGCUGAACUCUAUGACAAGACUAUUUAAAACCUGACUGGGCACCCUCUCUUAAGUUAGGACCUGUGGAACAAGAUCCAUCGAUAACUUUAUCAACAAAGAAGUACGAGAGAGCCCAAAGCCGUGAUGCAUGAAAAUUGGAAAAGACACUGUCAAAACAGGCACUAGAUUUCCAGGAUGUUGAAAGACUUGAGGAUUGUGAUGUGAACUAUGAACUGUGAACUGUGCAAGUUUAGUUACAUUGGACCACUGGAAGCACUGGCACCUAGAGAGGAAGACAAAAGCAAUAAGGAAGACCCAGACCUACUCCACAAGAUGCGUUGUGAACUGCAGAGGCAGUAAAACUGCAAAGAGUGACGAAGCAACCGAUCCUCCAUGAUAAUUGCACAUUGGUAUCGUGAUAAUGGACAGAUAUCUUCAUUUGAGAACAUGAACCUCAAACCCAGGCCUGGUCAAGUUGAAAAAAUAGUAUUGCAUAAUAUUCUCAUUGAAGGAAAAUCACAUGUCCAUUGCCUUGCCAUGGUGAAAUGGUUAUGCAAAGUAAACGAAACAGUUUGACAUUAUUUUGGUAAACCAGUUGAAGUUUGGAAGGCCAAUAUGUAUGGAUGUGAAGGACCUGCUAGUUUUAUUCCCAUUCAAAGAAUAAAAUCCAAAUUUGUAUAUGCUUUUGAGAACUUUCAAGGAAUUAACACAAUCGUUGUUAUACCACGUGAAAGAUUCUUGUGACUUUGAUAUGCAUGAAAUGAAGCCGGACACAUAUGUUGAUCUGGAUAUAUACAGACACAAUUUGACUACCCAAGUAUGCUCAUUACAAAAACUUGUGAAGUCGGUCACAUGCAGCUGAUGUGUGAAGCCGGACACAUAGGUCUACAUAUACAUGCAUGUACAUCCACUAUUUGAUUACAUCAGUCUGCACAUUAUAAAAACUUGUGAAGUCGGGCACAUGCAGCUGAUGUGUGAAGCCGGACACAUAGGUCUACAUAUACAUGUAUGUACAUCAAUUAUUUGAUUACAUCAGUCAGCACUGCCACAUUACAAAAACUUGUGAAGUCGGGCACAUGCAGCUGAUGUGUGAAGCCGGACACAUAGGUCUACAUAUACAUGCAUGUACAUCCACUAUUUGAUUACAUCAGUCUGCACAUUAUAAAAACUUGUGAAGUCGGGCACAUGCAGCUGAUGUGUGAAGCCGGACACAUAGGUCUACAUAUACAUGUAUGUACAUAAAUUAUUUGAUUACAUCAGUCAGCACUGCCACAUUACAAAAACUUGUGAAGUCGGGCACAUGCAGCUGAUGUGUGAAGCCGGACACAUAGGUCUACAUAUACAUGUAUGUACAUCAACUAUUUGAUUACAUCAGUCUGCACAUUACAAAGGUGAAGUCGGGCACAUGCAGCUGAUGUGUGAAGCCGGACACAUAGGUCUACAUAUACAUGUAUGUACAUCCACUAUUUGGUUACAUCAGUGUGCACAUUACAAAAACUGGUGAAGUCGGGCACAUGCAGCUGAUAUGUGAAGCCGGACACAUAGGUCUACAUAUAUAUGUAUGUAUGUACCCACUAUCUGAUUGCAUAAGUCUGCAUAUUACUUGUGAAACCGGACACAUAGGUCUACAUAUAUACAUACAUACACUCUAUGAUCAUUUUAGUCUGCACAUUACAGAAAAAUGUUUGCAUAGCAAAUACUAUUCAGGAAGGGUGAUAAUAUUCUUGCAAUGUACCGUAUACGUUUUCAAUCUAAUUUGAAGUGUUUAUUUUCCUGAUCUUAUAAGUAUUUUUGUAGUUAAUUAUUUAUUGACUGUAAAGUGUUACAUUAAGAUGGUAUUUAUUAUGUACAGGAAGCAGUUUUUUAAAUUUAUUUUGUAAUUAAAAAGUAUAUUAAUUUGAAGAAAA